GACGAACGCUGGCGGCGUGCCUAAUACAUGCAAGUAGAACGCUGAAGGAGGAGCUUGCUUCUCUGGAUGAGUUGCGAACGGGUGAGUAACGCGUAGGUAACCUGCCUGGUAGCGGGGGAUAACUAUUGGAAACGAUAGCUAAUACCGCAUAAUAGCAGUUGUUGCAUGACAACUGUUUGAAAGGUGCAAUUGCACCACUACCAGAUGGACCUGCGUUGUAUUAGCUAGUUGGUGGGGUAACGGCUCACCAAGGCGACGAUACAUAGCCGACCUGAGAGGGUGAUCGGCCACACUGGGACGGAGACACGGCCCAGACUCCUACGGGAGGCAGCAGUAGGGAAUCGUCGGCAAUGGACGGAAGUCUGACCGAGCAACGCCGCGUGAGUGAAGAAGGUUUUCGGAUCGUAAAGAUCGGUUGUAAGAGAAGAACGAGUGUGAGAGUGGAAAGUUCACACUGUGACGGUAUCUUACCAGAAAGGGACGGCUAACUACGUG
This 495-nucleotide ribosomal RNA is filed under the name uncultured bacterium. RNAcentral describes it as "partial 16S ribosomal RNA". It matches the Rfam family "Bacterial small subunit ribosomal RNA", at positions 28 to 507 of the family's 1533-position model. The record is from RNAcentral.